RNAcentral lists this ribosomal RNA (450 nucleotides) under uncultured bacterium. RNAcentral's name for it is "bacterial SSU rRNA". It matches the Rfam family "Bacterial small subunit ribosomal RNA", at positions 328 to 792 of the family's 1533-position model. The record is from RNAcentral.
GUCCCAGACUCCUACGGGAGGCAGCAGUGGGGGAUAUUGGACAAUGGGGGAAACCCUGAUCCAGCGACGCCGCGUGAGUGAAGAAGUAUUUCGGUAUGUAAAGCUCUGUCAGCAGGGAAGAAAGAAAUGACGGUACCUGACCAAGAAGCCCCGGCUAAAUACGUGCCAGCAGCCGCGGUAAUACGUAUGGAGCAAGCGUUAUCCGGAUUUACUGGGUGUAAAGGGAGAGUAGGUGGCAGAGCAAGUCCGAAGUGAAAACCCAAAGCUCAACUAUGGGAAUGCUUUAGAAACUGCUCAGCUAGAGUGCAGGAGAGGCAAGUGGAAUUCUUAGUGUAGCGGUGAAAUGCGUAGAUAUUAGGAGGAACACCAGUGGCGAAGGCGGCUUGCUGGACUGUAACUGACACUGAGGCUCGAAAGCGUGGGGAGCAAACAGGAUUAGAUACCCCUGUA